UAGAUUGGUUUGACUCAAGUUUAUUUGUAAAUCCUAUAGAAACUUUUUUUCAGUAUUCACACUUGCUUUGAUCAAAAAUUUUUUGAACUCAGUCUCACGAAUCACAUAGGACUUCUCCUUUUCUAUCAAAGUCGAUAGAUUCCAUCUAGGUGUAUCAUACUCCAAACAGUGAAUCUGAAUCUACUAAAGCCAACAUACACAGCAGAG
Molecule: long non-coding RNA, 207 nt
Filed under: Elaeis guineensis (African oil palm)
Lineage: Eukaryota; Viridiplantae; Streptophyta; Magnoliopsida; Arecales; Arecaceae
Description: long non-coding RNA (EGUI_LNC053469)
Source: RNAcentral